GUUAAGAUGGCAGAGCCCGGUAAUUGCAUAAAACUUAAAACUUUACAAUCAGAGGUUCAAUUCCUCUUCUUGACAACACACCC
Molecule: transfer RNA, 83 nt
Filed under: Pan troglodytes schweinfurthii
Lineage: Eukaryota; Metazoa; Chordata; Mammalia; Primates; Hominidae
Also listed under: 2 other names
Description: tRNA-Leu
Rfam family: tRNA
About the family: Transfer RNA (tRNA) molecules are approximately 80 nucleotides in length. Their secondary structure includes four short double-helical elements and three loops (D, anti-codon, and T loops).
Source: RNAcentral